RNAcentral lists this ribosomal RNA (497 nucleotides) under uncultured bacterium. Its description in RNAcentral is "partial 16S ribosomal RNA". It matches the Rfam family "Bacterial small subunit ribosomal RNA", at positions 28 to 507 of the family's 1533-position model. The record is from RNAcentral.
GAUGAACGCUGGCGGCGUGCCUAAUACAUGCAAGUCGAGCGAACGGACGAGAAGCUUGCUUCCCUGAUGUUAGCGGCGGACGGGUGAGUAACACGUGGAUAACCUACCUAUAAGACUGGGAUAACUUCGGGAAACCGGAGCUAAUACCGGAUAAUAUUUUGAACCGCAUGGUUCAAAAGUGAAAGACGGUCUUGCUGUCACUUAUAGAUGGAUCCGCGCUGCAUUAGCUAGUUGGUAAGGUAACGGCUUACCAAGGCAACGAUGCAUAGCCGACCUGAGAGGGUGAUCGGCCACACUGGAACUGAGACACGGUCCAGACUCCUACGGGAGGCAGCAGUAGGGAAUCUUCCGCAAAGGGCGAAAGCCUGACGGAGCAACGCCGCGUGAGUGAUGAAGGUCUUCGGAUCGUAAAACUCUGUUAUUAGGGAAGAACAUAUGUGUAAGUAACUGUGCACAUCUUGACGGUACCUAAUCAGAAAGCCACGGCUAACUACGUG